UAGUUCCUACGGGACGCAGCAGUGGGGAAUAUUGCACAAUGGGGGGAACCCUGAUGCAGCGACGCCGCGUGAGUGAAGAAGUAUUUCGGUAUGUAAAGCUCUGUCAGCAGGGAAGAAAGAAAUGACGGUACCUGACCAAGAAGCCCCGGCUAACUACGUGCCAGCAGCCGCGGUAAUACGUAGGGGGCAAGCGUUAUCCGGAAUUACUGGGUGUAAAGGGAGCGUAGACGGUGAUGCAAGUCUGGAGUGAAAGGCGGGGGCCCAACCCCCGGACUGCUCUGGAAACUGUGUAACUUGAGUGCAGG
This 305-nucleotide ribosomal RNA is filed under the name uncultured bacterium. RNAcentral's name for it is "bacterial SSU rRNA". It matches the Rfam family "Bacterial small subunit ribosomal RNA", at positions 333 to 652 of the family's 1533-position model. The record is from RNAcentral.